RNAcentral lists this ribosomal RNA (432 nucleotides) under uncultured Eubacteriales bacterium. RNAcentral describes it as "bacterial SSU rRNA". It matches the Rfam family "Bacterial small subunit ribosomal RNA", at positions 952 to 1382 of the family's 1533-position model. Lineage: Bacteria; Bacillati; Bacillota; Clostridia; Eubacteriales. The record is from RNAcentral.
CGAAGCAACGCGAAGAACUUACCAGGGCUUGACAUGCCGCUGACCGGUUUAGAGAUAGAUCUUUAUCCUUCGGGGUACAGCGGACACAGGUGGUGCAUGGUUGUCGUCAGCUCGUGUCGUGAGAUGUUGGGUUAAGUCCCGCAACGAGCGCAACCCUUGUCUUUAGUUGCCAUCAUUAAGUUGGGCACUCUAAAGAGACUGCCGAUGACAAAUCGGAGGAAGGUGGGGAUGACGUCAAAUCAUCAUGCCCUUUAUGUCCUGGGCUACACACGUGCUACAAUGGUCGGUACAACGAGAAGCAAGUCAGCGAUGGCAAGCAAAUCUCUAAAAGCCGAUCCCAGUUCGGAUUGCAGGCUGCAACUCGCCUGCAUGAAGUCGGAGUUGCUAGUAAUCGCGGAUCAGAAUGCCGCGGUGAAUACGUUCCCGGGUCUU